Molecule: long non-coding RNA, 199 nt
Filed under: Gossypium barbadense (sea-island cotton)
Lineage: Eukaryota; Viridiplantae; Streptophyta; Magnoliopsida; Malvales; Malvaceae
Description: long non-coding RNA (GBAR_LNC010570)
Source: RNAcentral
AUUACUCGUGAUAAUGAAAUGGGCCUACGGGCCAUUAACUGUUAAACGAAAGGCUUCGGCCCAGUGAUAUGAGAUAUGAAAAGGCUUCAGCCCAGUAUAUGUUGAGAUUGGAUUUGGGCUUAGGCCCAGCAAGCUGAUAUUGUUUUGGUCUCUGAAAAGGGCUUGUUGCACACUGAGUUUCCAAACUCACCCCCUUUCC